RNAcentral lists this ribosomal RNA (446 nucleotides) under uncultured bacterium. RNAcentral describes it as "bacterial SSU rRNA". It matches the Rfam family "Bacterial small subunit ribosomal RNA", at positions 331 to 794 of the family's 1533-position model. The record is from RNAcentral.
CCAGACUCCUACGGGAGGCAGCAGUGGGGGAUAUUGCACAAUGGGGGAAACCCUGAUGCAGCGACGCCGCGUGAGUGAAGAAGUAUUUCGGUAUGUAAGGCUCUAUCAGCAGGGAAGAAGAUGACAGUACCUGAGUAAGAAGCCCCGGCUAACUACGUGCCAGCAGCCGCGGUAAUACGUAGGGGGCAAGCGUUAUCCGGAUUUACUGGGUGUAAAGGGAGCGUAGACGGCAGUGCAAGUCCGGAGUGAAAGCCCGGGGCUCAACCCUGGGACUGCUCUGGAAACUGUAAAGCUGGAGUGCGGGAGGGGCAGGCGGAAUUCCUGGUGUAGCGGUGAAAUGCGUAGAUAUCAGGAGGAACACCGGCGGCGAAGGCGGCUUACUGGACCAUAACUGACGUUGAGGCUCGAAAGCGUGGGGAGCAAACAGGAUUAGAUACCCCCGUACA